This is a long non-coding RNA of Osmerus eperlanus (European smelt), 298 nucleotides long. RefSeq lists it as uncharacterized. The transcript has 3 exons. Lineage: Eukaryota; Metazoa; Chordata; Actinopteri; Osmeriformes; Osmeridae. The record is from RefSeq and is a predicted model, not a curated record.
GCCAAGGAUGGUCAGCCACCAAGGAGGGUCAUCAUGUCUGACGAGGAAAGGGAGGCAGUUCUGACCGAGGUCCACGCCGGCCACUUCGGAGUGAAGCGCAUGUUGGGAAAGAUCAACCAGCGCUUCUACUGGCUUGGCAUUGUCAAGGAUGUGGAAUACUGGGUCCGCACCUGUGUGCCUUGCCAGAAGUUUGAGAAGGUGAAGACAGGCACCUGAGUUGAAGAGCAUCAAGCCUGUUUCACCUUGGUACAUGAUUGGUGUGGACCUCAUCGGACCGUUCAAGUCAUCCAGGAAUGGG